RNAcentral lists this ribosomal RNA (253 nucleotides) under uncultured bacterium. RNAcentral describes it as "partial 16S ribosomal RNA". It matches the Rfam family "Bacterial small subunit ribosomal RNA", at positions 524 to 776 of the family's 1533-position model. The record is from RNAcentral.
UACGGAGGAUCCAAGCGUUAUCCGGAAUCAUUGGGUUUAAAGGGUCCGUAGGCGGUUUGGUAAGUCAGUGGUGAAAGCCCAUCGCUUAACGAUGGAACGGCCAUUGAUACUGCCAGACUUGAAUUACUGGGAAGUAACUAGAAUAUGUAGUGUAGCGGUGAAAUGCUUAGAUAUUACAUGGAAUACCAAUUGCGAAGGCAGCUCGCUGGGACGUUACUGACGCUGAGACGCGAAAGCGUGGGGAGCAAACAGG